Molecule: ribosomal RNA, 506 nt
Filed under: uncultured bacterium
Lineage: Bacteria
Description: partial 16S ribosomal RNA
Rfam family: Bacterial small subunit ribosomal RNA
Source: RNAcentral
AUUGAACGCUGGCGGCAGGCCUAACACAUGCAAGUCGAACGGCAGCACAGAAGAGCUUGCUCUUUGGGUGGCGAGUGGCGGACGGGUGAGUAAUGUCUGGGAAACUGCCCGAUGGAGGGGGAUAACUACUGGAAACGGUAGCUAAUACCGCAUAACGUCGCGAGACCAAAGUGGGGGACCUUCGGGCCUCACACCAUCGGAUGUGCCUAGAUGGGAUUAGCUAGUAGGUGGGGUAAUGGCUCACCUAGGCGACGAUCCCUAGCUGGUCUGGGGGGAUGCACAGGCACACUGGAACUGGAACACGGUCCAGACUCCUACGGGAGGCAGCAGUGGGGAAUAGUGCGCAAUGGGCGCAAGCCUGAUGCAGACAUGGCGCGUGUAUGAAGAAGGCAUUCGGGUUGUAAAGUACUUUCAGCGGGGAGGAAGGCGGUGAGGUUAAUAACCUCGCCGAUUGACGUUACCCGCAGAAGAAGCACCGGCUAACUCCGUGCCAGCAGCCGCGGUAA